Molecule: long non-coding RNA, 1626 nt
Organism: Mirounga angustirostris (Northern elephant seal)
Lineage: Eukaryota; Metazoa; Chordata; Mammalia; Carnivora; Phocidae
Exons: 5
Source: RefSeq, a predicted model, not a curated record
GUAUGCCCUUCAGCCUUCUUUCCCUCACAUAACAUCUCACAAAACUAUGCUCCAUUUGUCAGAACUACGAAAUAAAUAUUGGUAAAGUACUAUUAACUAAAUUACAGACUCUUUUUGGGUUUCAACAGUUUUUCCAUUAAUGUUGUUUUCCUGUUCCAGGAUCCAAUCAAAGUUAUAUUUAGACCAUUUUUCCUUGUUAGUGAAUUUCCCUCUGAAGAUCUUCAAAUUCUUGCAAUCAAAUUUCACUUGCCUAAGUCAGUCAUGAACAUGCAAAGUGCUAAGUGAUUUUUAACAUAAAGCAGAUUUGAGAAAGAACUUCCUAUGAUAAUGCUUUCAUUAUUUUUGGGUUUACUGUCUAGAAUACCACUCAAGUAUCCGGAAUGACACAGAGAAGAUUGACUCUGUAUUUGACUUGUCAGUAGGCUGAGUCUGUAUUGUGGGUACAAGAUGAAUAAUACAAUUUUGGCGGUCCCCUCCAAAUCUGCACUCACUGUGGAAUAAGAGGGACUGAACUUCAAAUACUAGGACAUGGACCAGCUCUGUGUGAUCCUGGGCAAGUUACUUAAACAUUGGCUUUGGGUUCCUUGUCUGUAACCUAUCACUUGAUUAGGCAUUCCAGACUUACAUGCUUAACACGGAACACUUGAUCCCUUCUCCGCCCUGUGCUUCCAGUUGUUGCCUCUCCUUAGUGAACAAUGUCCCCUUCAAGCCACUGGAAGCCCAAUAGGUGUCAUGCACUCUUUCCUGCCUUCCUCAUCUUCCACAUCUGGGCAUCACCAUGUCCCCCCAGCUGACUGUCCCAAUGAUACCUCGAAUUUCUCAGUUUCUCUUUGUUUCCACUAUUAGUAUCCCAGUUCAUGUGAUCCUCACCUCUUAUUUGGUUUACUGCAACAGUUUCCUAAUUAUCCUUUCUGAUGCUAAUUUUACUUUUUUUUUUUUUUUUAAGAUUUUAUUUAUUUAUUUGACAGAGAGAGACACAGCAAGAGAGGGAACACAAGUAAGGGGAGUGGGAAAGGGAGAAGCAGGCUUCCCGCGGAGCAGGGAGCCCGAUGCGGGGCUCGAUUCCAGGACCCCGGGAUCAUGACCUGAGCCGAAGGCAGACGCUUAACAACUGAGCCACCCAGGCGCCCCAUGGUGAGGUGAGUUAAUGAAAAGAAUCAGAACAGCUUCCAUCCCUCACUUGACUACUUACCGUCCUCACUGCAGCAAAACAAGCUGGAUCCAGGUCAGCUGAGUAAGAGCUGGCCAGUAAGAUGGACUCAAGAAGAAACUACUACCAUCGGGGAGAAUUUUCCAGGUACAUCACUGCUCCUCCAUACAUAAGAUGAGAAAAGAAGAAAAUAAUACUUUUCAGCUUCAUUUACUUCUCUAAUUUGAAUCUUUAUAAAGACAUUUUACAAAAACAUAUGAUCAUGUGAACACAUUGCUCAGAUUUCCUUGGGACCUUGAAAUGGGCUUAUGCAAGCAAGGAGCCUGAAAUGUACUCAUCUGCGGCUUCACUGUAAAUCUACCUCUGUCCAAUCACUACCCUCUUCAAAGGUAUAUCCUCCCUGAAGAUAAAAUCAUUAUUUUAUCCGAUGAAAUAAGUGGUUAGUCCUGCGUCUGAUUCUCUCCUUUCAGGUAAAA